UUCAUCCUUUCAUAUUCGUUGGGGUCUCUGUUCCCAUGAAUCAGGGAUAUUUCACAAAUAUCUUGAUUUGUUUUAUCAUUCAUCCCUAUGUCUAGUGAUGACAUGGGGAUGAAUGAAUCAAAAUCUGUGGCCUUUUAGAUAUUGAUAGGCCAAAGCUUUUUUCAUCCCUAACCUCCAUAACGACUAAAGAAGAAUAACUGGAGAAGCGGUCCACCAGUGAUCUAGAGGACCCAAGUUGCUCAUCCCUUCAGAAGGAAAAGUGAGGCUACUGUCAUGCUGGCUAGAGAAUUCAAUUUGUAGUAAAGAAAAAAGAGAGAGGAACAAUUUCAAGGUCUGUGUAUGUAUGGCAACUCCUGAUACUUACAUAAUUCUCUGGUUUCUAUCUUGCUUUAAAGAAUGUUGGGGUACUUAUACCUUUCACCAUAAGACUGCUCCGUGAUGGUUGGUUCUUCCUCUCUGUGUGGCGUAGAGGAUCUGUUACCAAGGGGCAGCCAUUUGAUGGCAUCUCUAUUAACAGAUGUAAUAAGUGCUCCAGCUCUUCAAACUCAAAUGAAGGAACAGAGCAGAAAUGUCUUGUCUCAGUUCCUCUCCACAAAUGGGUUGACUGUUUUCCUGUAUGAAAGUCUGAAGAGUGAUUGAGAACAUUUAUUGUUUAUCCACCAGCUUAGAAACUUAUUGAGCCAGAGCUGGGAAACAAACCACUUUCCCGUAUCAACUGUCAGUUUGGUUUCUCAUCACUGAAUAGCCAACAGGAAAAAAAGAAAUUGAUUUUUUUUCCUCUUGCCUCCUGUAUUAUGAGAACUGUUUGGGGUUCUCAAGACACAUUCUCAGGGAAGUUAUAUUUAGACAUAAAUUACCCUCGCCCCAGGUUCUUAAGUGAAUUUAUUCUCUCUGGAAGUCC
RNAcentral lists this long non-coding RNA (901 nucleotides) under Pogona vitticeps (central bearded dragon). RNAcentral's name for it is "lncRNA (ENSPVIG00000022602.1)". Lineage: Eukaryota; Metazoa; Chordata; Lepidosauria; Squamata; Agamidae. The record is from RNAcentral.